AUUCCUAUCCCUCUGGUGGUGGGGCUUUGUCUCUGGGAUUAGAGGCUGCUUUGUGCCUGGGGGGGGGGGGUCUUUAGACAGCCAGUUUACUGAUAGGUCGGGCUGUGAUCCCACCUGGAUUAUUGUUUGGCCUGGGGCUUCUCAGCACUGAUGGGUGGGGCCAGAUUUUCCCAAAAUGGCCACCUCCAGAGAAAUGCAUGCUAGUGAAUUUUCCCAAGAACUUUGCCUCCAAUGUCCUUUCCCCACAAUGAGACACAGUCACCCCCUGUUUUCCUGGGAGAUCCACCAAGAACUGCACUCAGGUCCAACCCAGAGGAAUGGAGAAUUUGCUUUGACCUGGAACCCAGUGUACAUGAAAUUCUUUGUGCACCUUUCAAAAAUGGGGUCUCCAUUUCCCCCAAUCCCAUGGAGCUCCUGCACACAAGCCACACUGGCCUUCAAUGCCAAAUGCUCCAGGAUAUCUUUUUCCCAAUGCCAAAUCCCCAGGUGUGGGUAUUUGAUGUGGGGCUCAGUACUAUCACUCCUGUAGGUGAGUCUCUGUAAUACAGUUACUUUCCAAUCUGUGAGUUUUCCACCCAGGAGUUUUGGGCUUACUUAUAUCACAUAAUCACCCCUACUACCUCUUGAUGUUGCCUCCUCUUUGUCUUCUGGAGUGGAUAUCUUUUUGAAUUCAAGUCCGUUUUGUUGAAGGUUGUUAAGCAUUUGGUUGUAAUUUUGUGUUUUUUAUGAGAUAAAUUGAGCUCCAGUCCUUCUAUUCUGCCAUCUUAAUCCCAUAUGAUAGUCCAGAUAAUUUUUUUUUAAUGGUGGCACUCGUGAUGUAUGGAAGUUCCUGGGUCUGGAGAAGCUUUUCUGACAUAAACUUCCAGCUGCUCCUUCAGGCAUAUCUUUGUAUACAGAAGCCUCCCCUUUAUAUAUCCAUGAGUUAAGCUUGCCAUGAGCUAUAAACAUUAAACCGAUGUGUUUUUGUUAAGGAUUUUAUUUUUAAAUUCUUAUUUUGAAAAACCUAAAUAUUAACUGAUUACUUAAAUGUUGCCACAUUUUAGUGUCCUAUUUUUGAGGUCCUUUAUGUUAGAGACAUUCUGGAGAAUCCCAAGGUCAUCAGUUUACAGCCAUUUGUGUCUAAGUGCAAGGUACACUCUCAGCUUAUUUUCUUCUUACAGCUUAAUUUUAUCAUUUGUUACUAGUGUUUACCUAUAUAAUCCUGACCUAGAACUUGAGAGGCAAUCUUACAGUGUUUAAACUGUUUCUGCUAGGAACUGAGUUUAUAACUAUUACACAUCUCUCUGAUCUUAAAAAAAAAAAUCAUCAAGAUGUUGCCAAAUAAGCUAUGAUUCUAUUAGAAAAGAACAAAAAUUGUGGUUCUCCAUCAAUAAGAAUAGAAAAAUGUAUUAACAGGAGAUUCUCAAAUUUCAAUGACAUAUGGUAAUGGAAAUGUUUCUUGUUCAAUCCACAUGCCCACUGCAAUUCACUCAGAGUUCUGCUCCACAUCUCUUCAACCUACAACUUAGGCUGACCUGGAAGGCUGCACCCUUCAAGUGUGGUUCUACCUUGAAAAGCCCUAAUCUUCUAGGUAAAGGGAAAGAAAUCUUUGGAGAGUUUUUCAACAACCAUUAUAGGCUCUGGCCUCCUCACCAUUCAUUUGCUUAAAAAGCACAUGGAUUCCUUCCUCUCUCCCCCUCCCUAUUAAUGCUCCAGUACCAUCCAAAGGACAUAGGAAGUGCAAUCCUACCUAAGGUCUGGCAAAUGCAGAGAUGAAAAUACUUGACAAACAACACUAUUGAUGUAUUAGUGAUUUACCAAUUAUUAAAAUACAAUUUCAAUCAUUUUUAAAGAUAUCAUGUCCCAAAAGGUAAACAUAUACAUAUAAGUAUGCACAGAUAUUUUUGUAUUUAUAUCUAUCUUAAAUAUGCUUCAUUAGAAUUUUCUUACAUUUUGGGGUAUAAGGAUAAUUUGACACAGUUUGUUCUAUAAUGUUCUUUCAUGUUUUCUGAUUUAUUUCUGUUCUUAUUUGUAACUUCUACAAAUCUCCCAUAGUUGCUCUAAUAAAAUAUUAAACUAUUAAACCUGAUUAUUUUUGAUGAUAUUUAACUAAAUUUGUUUAUAAAUAUUUAGAGUUCCUAAGCAUGUGACAUUAUUUUUUGCACCAAUUUGUUGAUUGAACUACUAUGAGACACUAAGUUGUAAUUAGAUAUUGGUAUCUCAUUAAUAUAUAUGGUUGUUUCUCUUUUGUUCUUCACAUUUGUCUAUAUAUUUGAAGUUAAGCUUGUCUUUGAGACUCUAUAAUUUUAGAUAAAACAGUCCUCCCUUCAUAUUUUAUUCUGUCAUGUAUUUAAAGAAAAUAUUCUAUGGGAUUUUAAAGAAGUUAAAAACUUCUGAACAAAGAAACCAUGGAUGAAAAGCCCUCUCACUUUUUAUCAAGAUCAGUCUAUAUAUUCAACUUAUCUGAGGCAAUGAGUUUUAACACCUGAAAAUAUGUGCACGUAUAUAUGCAUGUAAACACUCUUACAAAAACUUUUUAUUUCAUGUUAAAUGAAUUAAAAUAAUCAAUGGAUUGAAUGAUAUAGAAUAGUAUACACAUAUUUCUAGGGGUAUUUAAGAGCACUCUGCAAUAUGUGAAACAAUUAUGCUAAUAUAUGCACCAAUAUAUUGAGAGUAAUUAGAUGCUGUGAAAAGAAAGGAGACCUUCUGGUGUAUGUUAAUUCAUUAACUUUGCAUUGAUAUAUGCUUAAGAUUCCAGUUUCUUUUUUUUUCUUUUAGCAAUAAUGUAUUGCAAAUGUAAUCGUUACAUAUAUUUGAGGAAAGUCUUUUAAAAUAAAAUUGGAAAUACUUAGUUUGAAGAUUGCUUUUGUGCAAAACCAGGGCAUGCCCACUAUUAAGCAAUUUAUCCCAAGUUUGCAUUUCUUUAGUGUCUAUAAGAGAAAAAAUGAGCAUAUGACAUUUUUAUACCUUAUUUAUAACUAUUUAUUUUAUCUACAUCAAAAGUAUACUAAAUUUUCUAAAAUCAUAUUUAUCCAAACCCCCUGAUAGCAUAAACAUAAGAUUAUUGUUUAGUUUCAUGAUGUCUUAUUUAAAGGUCCUCAGGUCAGACAUAUAGAUAAUCUAGCCCCAUCACCUCCAAAUAUUUUCAACCUGAAAGAAAAUUACAUAUCCUGUGAGGUCUGGUUUCUACAUCUGGGGAAGAGGGACAACAGAGUUUUUGGGUGGAUCCAGUGUGACUGGCAAUAUAAGGUAUGUGAAUACAAUGUUUGUUUAUAGUAGUCUAGAGUAAACAUUAGCUCCCAUUCAACUUAUAUGACAGAAAUGAAGAGCAGGCUAAUACAAACUACUUAUCACAAACUCUUAAAAAAAACUGUCUAGAAUUGUAUGUAAUUUAUAUUUGCAUGUAUAAUGAUUAACCUGAAAUUUUGGAAUAUAGGAUAGUACAUUUUGAAUCAUCUGUCAGGUUAAUUUAUAUUCAAUAUAAUUUAGUGUCCUUGUGUAGUUUUCUAUGUUGUAAUUCUCAGUAAAUAUGUAAAAAUUGAUUACUAUCAAUGGCACAUAUACCAGAGUGACUGGUAUGAGUUUGUCAAAAUAACAGUCAAAUCAAUGAUGCUCAGCAAAUGACUUAAAGUCUCCACUUUCUUUUCUGAAAAAUGAAGAAAAUAAUACAUGCUGCAUUAGGCAGGAUUUAUUUCAGUUGCAAAUGACAUAAUCUCAACUCAAAGCAGAUUAAAGAAAGUGAUUUAGUAAAGAUGUUGGGUAGCUGACUGAAUCAAACAAAAAAGCUGUUGGAGACAGAGGUUAUCUACCACUCCAAGGGUAAGACAUGAAAGGCACAAAGCCAUUUAAAUUCUCUCCAUUCAUUUGUCUUAUUGCUGCUUCUUUAUUUUUUGUUCUAUAUUGUUCUCUCCAGAGCAAAAGAUGACCACAGGCAAACCAAGGAUUGCAUCACUGGCCUUCACUAAGUUUAUAACCAAGAUUUCUCCUUGUUAGAUGAAAGAAUAACAUACUUGGGCAAUGAAUCAGACUGAUUUGGGUUACAUGCCCACUGCUUGGGCAAACAUAUUUAUAAAGUGUUUAUCAUGACAUUUAGGUCCAUCCAAUGUGAACCACAGAGGUCCAACCCAUACUACUGAAUCCCAAAGAAAGUCCAUAUCAUGACACUUGGGAUCUGGUUUUGCCAGCAGCUGCUCCAAGGGGCCAGUUAACUCAGAAGUGUUGUAAGUGGGAUUCAACCACCACCACACCACCAGCAGCAGAGGGAGUAGUGGGAAACUGUUGACUAAUGAGAAACAGAAAGCAGCAGGAGGGAACCUGAAAACAGGCAGAUAAUUUCCCCUUCCUUCCUACUUUCCAAUGACUACUUUUCUCUAAAACUUAUCCAAUGACAAAUGCAUAAGUGCCUCAUAGCCAGAUGACCAUGGCUGUGAAGCUGUGGCCAACUCCAUAACACAUCAACUUGGAUUUUCUCUCAUCCUCCCUGACACUCUUAACUUUGCUUUCACUCUUACUGCCCUGGUUUAAUACUUCUCAAUGAAGAAUUGCUGUUUAUGCUUUGAUGCAGCCUCAAUUUUCUAGGGAUCCCAGCUAAGACAAAUAGAUACUCCAGGCAUACCUCAUUUUAUUGCACUAUAUGGAUGCUGUAUUUUUUGUAAAUUGGAAGAUUGUGGCAACCUUAUGUCAAACAAUUCUAUUAGUGCCAUGUUUUUCCAACAGUAUUCGCUCAUGCCAUGUUUUUUUUUUUUUUUUUUUGUCACAUUUUGGUAAUUCCCAUAAUAUUUUAAGAUUUUUAAUCAAAUAUUAUAUUUGCUAUGGUGAUUUUUUAUCAUUGAUCACUACAGUUGUAAUUGUUUGGGGUGUCUCUAACCAGGUCCAUAUAAGAUGCUUGCAUUAAUUGAUAUACAUUGUAUGUAUUCUGACUGAUCCACUGACCAGCUCUUCCUCCAUCUCUCUCCUUGCUUCAGGCCUUCCUAUUUCUUGAGACACAAAAAUAUUGAAAUUAGGCCAGUUUCUAACCCCACCAUGGCCUCUAAUUUUUCAAGUGAAAGGGAAAUUAACACAUCUUUCACUUCAAUAAAAAGCUAGAAAUGAUUAAGCUUAGCCAUGCUCUAAGUGAAGAUAGGCCAACAGCUAGGCCUCUUGUAGCAAACAGUUGGCAGUUGUGAAUGCAGAAGAAAAGCUCUUGACAGAAAUGAAAAUUUCACUUUAGUUUACACACAAAAGAAAAGAAAGUGAAACAGCCUUCUUGUUGAUAUGUAGAAAGUUUUAGUGGUCAGGAUGGAAGAUUGAACCAGCCACAGUAUUCCCUUAAGCCAAAGGCUAAUUCCAAGAGCAAGACUCUAACUUGCCUCAAUUCUAUGAAGCCUGAGAGAGGUGAAGUUGCACGGGAACAAAUUGAAGCUCACAGAGGUUGGUUCAUAAGGUUUAAGAAAGCAGCCAUCGCCAUAAGAUCAGAGUUUAAGAUAAAGCAGCAAGUGCUGAUAUAGAAGAUGUAGCACGUUAUCCAGAAGAUCUAGCUAAGAUAAUUAAUGUGACUACAGUAAACAACAGAUUUUCAGUGGAAACAAAACAGUCUUUAUAUGGGAAGAAAUGCCAUCUAGGACUUUCAUAGCUAGAGAGAGAAAUCAAUGCUUGGCUUCAAAGCUUCAAAGCACAGACUGACUUUCUUGUUAGGAGCUAAUGCAGCUGGUGACUUUAAGUUGAAGCCAGUGUUCAUUUACCAUUAUGAAAAAUCCUAGGGCCCUUAAGUCUGCUCUAUCUGUGCUGUAUAAAUGGAACAACAAAGCUUGGAUGACAGCACAUCUGUUUACAACAUGGUUUACUGAAUAUUUUAAGCCCACUGUUGAGAACUACUGCUCAGAAAAGAAGAUUCCUUUCAAAAUAUGACUGCUCUUUGACAAUGCACCUAGUCACCCAAGAGCUCUGAUGGAGGUGAACAAUGAGAUUAAUCUUGUUUUCAUGGCAGCUAACACAGCAUCCAUUCUGCAGCCCAUGGAUCAUGGAGUAAUUUUGACUUUCAAGCUUUGUUAUCUAAGAAAUCUGUUUUGCAAAGUUAUAUCUGCCCUAGACAGUGAUUUCUCUGAUGGAUCUGAGCAAAGUAAAUCUCAAACAAGUUUUGGAAAGGAUUCACUACUGUAGAUGACAUUAAGAACAUUUGUAAUUCAUGGGUGGAGGUCAAACUGUCAACAUAAACAGGAGUUUGGAAGAAAUUGAUUCCAUUUCUCAUGAAUAACUGAAAAGUUUAAUACUUCAAUGGAGGAAGCAAAUAUAGAUGUGGUGGAUGUGGCAAGAGAACUAGAAUUAGAAGUGGAGCCUAAAGAUGUGACUGAAUUGCUGCAAUCACAUGAUAAAACUUUAAUGGAUGAGAAGUUGCUCCUACAGAUGAGCAAAGAAAGGAGUUUCUUGAGGUAGAAUCUACUCCUGGUGAAGAUGCUAUGAAUAUUGUUGAAAUGACAACAGUGGAUGCAGAAAAUGUAUUACGGGAACUUAGUUGUUAGAUUUGAAAGAAUUUACUCCCAUUUUGAAAAAAACUUCUACUGUGGGUUAAAUGCUGUCAAACAGCCUUGAAUUCCACAGACAAAUGAUUCAUGAAAGGAAGAGUCAACAAAUGUGUAAAACUUCAUUGUGAUCUUAUUUCAGGAAAUUGCAGGAGUUCCCAUUUUUGCUUGGUGGAUUAAGAACCCAACUAGUAUCCAUGAGGAUAUGGGUCUGAUCCCUGGUCUCACUCAAUGGGUUAAGGACCUGGCAUUGACACAAUCUGUGGUUUAGGUCACAGAUGCCGCUCAGAUCCUACAUUGUCAUGGCUGUGGCAUAGGCCAGCAGCUGCAGUUCCAAUUCAGCCCCUAGCCUGGGAAUUUCCAUGUGCUGCAGGUGCAGU
RNAcentral lists this long non-coding RNA (6856 nucleotides) under Sus scrofa (pig). RNAcentral's name for it is "lncRNA (ENSSSCG00000052412.1)". The stretch from base 6353 to 6418 matches the Rfam family "mir-1255 microRNA precursor family". Lineage: Eukaryota; Metazoa; Chordata; Mammalia; Artiodactyla; Suidae. The record is from RNAcentral.